This 431-nucleotide ribosomal RNA is filed under the name uncultured bacterium. Its description in RNAcentral is "bacterial SSU rRNA". It matches the Rfam family "Bacterial small subunit ribosomal RNA", at positions 28 to 505 of the family's 1533-position model. The record is from RNAcentral.
GGUGAAUGCUGGCGGCGUGGAUGAGGCAUGCAAGUCGAAUGGGUUUAGACCCAUGGCAGACGAGGUAGGAACACGUAGGUACAUACCGAGAAGUCGGGGAUAAUCUAUCGAAAGGUAGGAUAAUACUCGAUGGUCCCGUAAGGGUAAAGAUUUAUCGCUUCUUGAAUGGCCUGCGUUCUAUCAGCUUGAUGGUAAGGUAACGGCUUACCAUGGCUACGACGGAUAGGGGAGGUGAGAGCCUGACCCCCACCGAUGGAACUGAGACACGGUCCAUACUCCUACGGGAGGCCGCAGUCGAGAAUCUUCCGCAAUGGACGAAAGUCUGACGGAGCGACGCCGCGUGGUGGAUGAAGCCCUUAGGGGCGUAAACACCUUUUAUGAAGGAGGAAUUUUAUUGACGUUACUUCAUGAAUAAGGGGCUCCCAAUUCUG